CCUCCUUUCUUCCUCCUUUCUGCCUCUUGGUCCAUGGGCGCGCGCCUGCACCAGCCAAGUCGCGUGAGGGAGUACUGCCCUAUGGGUUGUAAACCUCUUUUGUCGGGGAGCAAAAGCCGGACGUGUCCGGCUGUGAGAGUACCCGAAGAAAAAGCAUCGGCUAACUCCGUGCCAGCAGCCGCGGUAAUACGGAGGAUGCGAGCGUUAUCCGGAUUUAUUGGGUUUAAAGGGUGCGCAGGCGGAUUUUUAAGUCAGCGGUCAAAUCGUGGGGCUCAACCCCAUCCAGCCGUUGAAACUGGGGAUCUAGAGUGUGCGAGAGGUAUGCGGAAUGCGUGGUGUAGCGGUGAAAUGCAUAGAUAUCACGCAGAACCCCGAUUGCGAAGGCAGCAUACCGGUGCACAACUGACGCUCAGGCACGAAAGCGUGGGUAUUGAACAGGAUUAGAUACCCGGGUAGUC
Molecule: ribosomal RNA, 458 nt
Filed under: uncultured bacterium
Lineage: Bacteria
Description: partial 16S ribosomal RNA
Rfam family: Bacterial small subunit ribosomal RNA
Source: RNAcentral